GACGAACGCUGGCGGCGUGCUUAACACAUGCAAGUCGAACGGAAAGUCCCCUUUGGGGGUACUCGAGUGGCGAACGGGUGAGUAACACGUGAGUAACCUGCCCUUGACUUCGGGAUAACUUCAGGAAACUGGGGCUAAUACCGGAUAGGAAUCCUUGCUGCAUGGUGGGGGUUGGAAAGCUUCGGCGGUUUUGGAUGGACUCGCGGCUUAUCAGCUUGUUGGUGGGGUAGUGGCUUACCAAGGCUUUGACGGGUAGCCGGCCUGAGAGGGCGACCGGCCACAUUGGGACUGAGAUACGGCCCAGACUCCUACGGGAGGCAGCAGUGGGGAAUAUUGCACAAUGGGCGGAAGCCUGAUGCAGCAACGCCGCGUGCGGGAUGACGGCCUUCGGGUUGUAAACCGCUUUCAGCAGGGGCGAAGCUUGUGGUGACGGUACCUGCAGAAGAAGCACCGGCUAACUACGUG
This 465-nucleotide ribosomal RNA is filed under the name uncultured bacterium. Its description in RNAcentral is "partial 16S ribosomal RNA". It matches the Rfam family "Bacterial small subunit ribosomal RNA", at positions 28 to 507 of the family's 1533-position model. The record is from RNAcentral.